Ficedula albicollis (Collared flycatcher) is the source of this 1576-nucleotide long non-coding RNA. RefSeq lists it as uncharacterized. Lineage: Eukaryota; Metazoa; Chordata; Aves; Passeriformes; Muscicapidae. The transcript is spliced from 4 exons. The record is from RefSeq and is a predicted model, not a curated record.
CAAGUACCACUGGUACAUUUAAAUAGCAGAGAUACAUUGAGGGAAAUAUCAAUGCAAUCAGGCAUGUAAGAGUGAGGAAGAAAAGCAGGCAGAGGCACAAAGGGCAGAGGAAUGAGGAGAAUGAAGGGUGGUUGAGUAACAGCCCAUGCAAAGAGGACCAUCUUGGAGAGAUCUGAUCUGGCUGCUAGAGAUUCUUCUGCAAAGCACAGAUAGCCUUUACCACCGUCCACAGGACUGAAAAUUCAAAGCAUGCUGCCUCACAAAGCCCAAGUUCUACAAAUAACUUUAUUUUAAGCACAUCCUAUAGGCUGUGUUCGGCCCAUAAAUGUUCCAUUGCAUUUUUCAACAACCAGUUACUGGCUAUACCUCAGACCUUUUCCAGUGAAAGCACCACGAAUGUACACAAUGUGAGAGUAUGGGCAAUGAAGAUUUUCUUCUGUGACAAACUCCACUCUGAACACUGUCACCUCCCCACCCAGCUCUCCCAAAUCUUGCUGCUGCUGUUGUGAAGAUCUGCUGCUCCACAGGCACCUCCCCACUCCAGGUGCCAAGCCCACAAGGCUUCCAUGGCCUGCUUUCCUAUGAAGUUGUUUUCUGCACAAAUGAGAGCAACAGAUUUGUGCUGAGCAGAUGGAAUGCAAUGUGGCCAAGGGGCUGGAAACAAAGAAGUCUGACAUAACUCAUUCCUGGUGAUGCUCACAUCCUUCUGCACAGCCACAGGUUGAACUCACUGGGCAAACAAACUCAGCUGAAUAAGCACUUGCCUCAUGCCCAUUUUUUCUGGGAUCCAUUUCUGGACACAGAUACCUGGAGGGAAAAGAGGAGUUUGUUUGAAAAGCCUGGAGCCAACCUGCGCUGUGCCCAAAUGCUGGGCCCAGGCAUCCUGCUCAGAACUGCCUGGUUCCACCAAAACCCAGCACCCUCCAGACAGAGGAUGGAAUAACCUGCAAAGACUGACAGAUUCAAACAAGGGAUCACUAACAGAAUUUCUUUGUUUGCUACAAAAGGAAAAACAAAGCAACAGGAAAAUGAAGUGAUGUUCCUCCUCUGGCAGAGAAGAAAUGAAGUCUCCUCCCCCUUCCAAAGGGGAUCACAGUUUGCCAGCUUUGGCAGCCACUGCAGUAUUUAAAAUAGAAAUGGAUCCCAAAAUGUGAUUUGGCAAAGACACGCUGAAAUAUUCAGUACUUGGUGUUCCAGUGCAACACUCCUCCUGAUGCACCUGUUACUGAACAACUCGACUACAAGAACCACCUUUGGAAGAGAUUUGCUGCUGCUCUGGGAAGAUAAGGGGGGUUAACCUGCAAGGAAGCACGACCCAGCAGCCUGCCUGCCAACAGGUUCUUGGAGCAAGAUGCCAGUUAGGGAACGGCACAGCCCCAGGGUUAAUGAAAUACAGGGCAAGCUCUGAGCUCUGUUUCUGCUGACAUUUUCUCUCACAGGGAUGCUGCUGCCUUAGCUGCACACAAAAUACUUACCAGGCAAAAUUCAGAGGCACAGAGAGCUUUGCCCUAACACGCCUUCGUUUUCUGUGCUUCCCCAGCAAUGUUAUCUUAGCCAAAAAUACUGUCCUUAAGUC